RNAcentral lists this ribosomal RNA (301 nucleotides) under uncultured bacterium. RNAcentral's name for it is "partial 16S ribosomal RNA". It matches the Rfam family "Bacterial small subunit ribosomal RNA", at positions 509 to 810 of the family's 1533-position model. The record is from RNAcentral.
CAGUAGCCGCGGUAAUACGUAGGUCCCGAGCGUUGUCCGGAUUUAUUGGGCGUAAAGCGAGCGCAGGCGGUUAGAUAAGUCUGAAGUUAAAGGCUGUGGCUUAACCAUAGUACGCUUUGGAAACUGUUUAACUUGAGUGCAAGAGGGGAGAGUGGAAUUCCAUGUGUAGCGGUGAGAUGCGUAGAUAUAUGGAGGAACACCGGUGGCGAAAGCAGCUCUCUGGCUUGUAACUGACGCUGAGGCACGAAAGCGUGGGGAGCAAACAGGAUUAGAUACCCCAGUAGUCCCUGUCUCUUACACA